AAAGAAAUUGAGGAAAAUAAAAUUAAAAUAAAAAUAAAACAAGUUGUUUGCAAUAAAAAUAACACAAUAUUAGACAUAGCAAGAAGAGAGGGAGAAGAAAGAAAAAAACCAGGAAAUGAAGUAAGAGAGACACAUUAUUUAAAAAAAAAAAAAAAAGGAGAGAAACUAAAAUAGUAGCAGCGAGCGAGCAAGCUAAAACGAAACAAAGCGGAGCUGAAAAUAAAAUAGCAAAUCAAUAGGAAGGGGAAAGCUCGAAAAAAAAAAAAAACGAGGAAUAAGAAAUUGCACUCCAAAUUAUAUAGUAUUUAAAAAAAAGGAAGGAAAUAAAAAAAUCGAGAGAGGGAGCCAAAAAGAAUCGAGGCUGCGAACAAUCCAACCCCAAACAGGAACUGCAGUGGCACUCGAUUUCUCUGCAAUUGGUCAAGCAAGUUGUCUAAGCAGUGAUUUUUAUUUUCGGUUCGUGCUGUUCCGGGCUUGAGACGACGCGCUGUUAAGUUCGGUGAUUCCAACUCUAGGGUUUUGAUUUGUUCUUCGCGUUAUUCAAUUGGGCUUUGUUUGGUGGGGUUUCUAUUUAUCACUCCAGUGGAGUUUGAUCCCUAGGGUUUUGGUUCUGCGAAGAUGAGAUUUGUAUUUGCAUUGUAUGGUUUCUCCGUGGGUUAAUUUAGGGAUGUUUGGAAACUGAAAUAACUCUUAUCUACCUCGGGAAUUCUGAAUUUUUUUUUCUUUCUAUGGGAUUUCAUGCUUGUUCUUUUACUCUCAAUAUGCAGAGAUUGAGGGUUUGAUUCGCAUUGUAUGGUAUGCAAAUUGGUGGAUUUGGACUCGUUUGGUGUUGGAGAAAACUGUCAAUUGGGGUGGAAACGGGUUUAAGUGGUUUUGUAGUUCUGUGAAUGGUGUGGGAAUCUGCUUAUUGAGCAAUGCAACCCCAGCAGGGCUCCAGAAUUGAUUUAGGUGAAUUGAAAAGUCAGAUAGUGAAGAAGAUUGGGGCUGAGAGGUCGAAAAGGUAUUUUUAUUAUUUGAGGAGUUUUCUAAGUCAGAAGCUCAGUAAAAGUGAUUUCGAUAAGUCAUGUUACCGUAUUCUUGGAAGGGAGAAUCUGCCUCUGCAUAAUCAGUUGAUACGUUCAAUCUUAAAAAAUGCAUGUCAGGCUAAGACUCCACCACCAGUUCAUGAAGCGGCUCCUGUGAAAUCUUUGAUACAAACUGUGAUAAGUUCUGGUAGAGAUGAUGGACAUGAACCAACUGGAUCCCUUGUUCCUAACCAGAAUACAAACGUGCCCAUUUGGUCAAAUGGGGUUUUGCCAGUGCUGUCCCCACGAAAGGUUAGGUCUGGAAUACGGGAUAGAAAACUCAGGGAUAGGCCCAGCCCUCUGGGGCCAAAUGGAAAGGUUGAGAGUGUCUCACAUCAAUCCAUGGGUAUGGAAGACAAUGGCAAUAAAUUGGGUAUGGAAAAUGGGGAUUUGACACCAUAUGAUUAUCAGAGGCCAGUGCAGCAUCUUCAAGCAGUUGCCGAGCAACCUGAAAUUGAAAGAGAAGGUUUCUUGUGUUCUACAGAAAAAUCAAGGGUGCUUAUUAAAGGCCAGACUGAAGGAGCCAUUUUUGAAGAUUGGGAGGAUGUGGAGCCAGCUAACCACAUUAAUCUCUCUAGAAGUCCUCUGCUUGCACCGCUUGGGAUUCCAUUUUGCUCAGCUAGUGUUGGUGGGGCCUGCAAAGCUCGGCCAGUGGUAACCAGUGGCGACUUCAUUAGCUACUAUGACAGUGGCAGUUUGUAUGAUACUGAGACAUUGAAGAAACGUAUGGAGCAGAUUGCAGUAGCACAGGGCCUUGGAGGGGUUUCUUUGGAUUGUGCUAGUAUGUUGAACAACAUGUUGGAUGUAUACUUGAAGAAACUGAUCAGGUCAUGCGUUGAUCUUGUGGGAUCAAGGUCUACACAUGAAUUGAGAAAGCAUUCUGCCCACAAGCAGCAGCCUCAAGGCAAGCUUGUUAAUGGUAUGUGGUCAAGUAAUCACUUGCAUACGCAGAGUAGCUCUGGGCCCACAGAAGUUUUGCAGGAACAGGGGCAGCGGUGCUCAAUAUCUUUGCUUGAUUUCAAAGUGGCAAUGGAGCUAAAUCCCCAGCAGCUGGGUGAAGAUUGGCCUUUACUGCUGGAAAAAAUUUGUAUGCAUUCAUUUGAAGAAUGAAUGACCGGCAAAACUUUGUUUAUCCUUGUUCAAUGUGCUUGAAAAAUGUUGAUCAUUGAAGCUCCCAGUUUGAAUUCAUUACCAACAUGAACCAGAUGGUGCCCAGUCAGAUAAAGCUCUGGCCCUUGCAAGAUGAAAUUAUGGGUUUGAGUGUGGGGAUGCCUGUACCCCUGCUGGAGAGCUGGUAUGGAUCAGAAAAAUAUUUUUGAGCAACUGAGUUAAGGUGCUUGAAAAGGUAGUGCUUACAACUGGUUGCUCUGUUGUACGAUUAGCAUUGUUGUUGGCUGUCUUCUGCCAUCUCAACAGAUCUCAGGCUCUUCUUGUAAUUUACAGCCAAUGAGGAGGAAAUCUAAGAAAUUUUUGCAAGGAUACUGUCUUGUAGCUUGGUGAAAGGAAAAGGACAGAGGUAGAUGAACAGAAUUGCAUGUGAUUGAAAGGGGUAAAAGUUUCUCAAUAUGGGAUGAGAAAAAUUCUGUAUCAACAAUCCUUCCCUGUUCAGUUGGAGUAGGCACGCUUACUUGCUAGUGCUUACUUGAACAUUUCUUCGACUUCACUCUGCUCUAGAUAUGAGUAUCAAUUUUGCAGUCAUUUUUUGUAAUUGAUAGCAUACAUAUGCUUUAUUUUGUUGAGUUGUCCUUUAUUCUUGAGCUGGUUUUCAGUAAAAUUGUUUUUUGGAAUUCUUUUUCAUGUUUUUAGAUAGUUAGGUUUGCACCUUUCACCUCUUCACUUUGGGAUUUUUCAUCAUUUUUGUUACUUAGUGUAUCAUAACAUGAAAAAUGGAAAACUGUGUUCUCAGUUAUAUUUGCACUUUAAUUUAUGUCAAAGGAAAACACUGUAACCAUUAGUUGUGCAAAAGUUGGUGAUGGUAAGUACUCCUUUUAAUUCUUUAUGGUAAUGUUUGUUCCUUUGUUAUGCAUAUACUGAGUCGUUCUCUAUUUGAUUUGUUUAUUCUUGGAACUCAUUAAGGAGGUGCUUGGUGUUCUGUUACUUUUUUAACCUAUGGGUUGCCUAAUCGUGUGUUUGAGGUUGGGGAAAAUCUCAAUCAGGCAGCUGCUAUUAAACAUUAGUAAGCUGAAGGGAUUGGCUAAUUCAUAGUAUGAAGACAUUUACAUCACUUGUGAUGAUGAGAAGAGAUCAGGCAUGCGCUUGAUAUGAAAAAGUAAUGGAACUUACUGCAACACCAACGAAUAUGUUGUUAGCUUUUUUUUUUCCCUAAAUAUAGAAAUUUAUACUAUUUCUGUUGAAGCUGCAGAGGAGAUCAACCGGGUCUCGGUGAAAGUUCAGUUAUCUUGGUCUCCAUUUUUCUUGCUUGUAUCAUGAUGUAGAUGGGUCACAAUGCUUUGUUUUUGUUAUCAGCAUCAACCUUGUUAGCCAUUUAAGCUAUCUGGACCAUGCGGCUAGUAUUGAGUUUCAGUUGAUGAACUAGUGAAUGAUGGCACCUGAAAAGUAUGUAAUUUGCGCUUGCUGAUGGUGGAGAACAGCCUUUCUAAUUCUGUGGUAUGAUCAUGAAGGAAUUAUGUUGGGACAUUAUCAAAAUAUGAAUUCUCCCGAACUUUGAUAUACGUUUUAACUUUGAUGGUUGAUAGUUACGAGCAAUGCUUGAGAAGAUCAAUGUAAUUAUGAUGUUAAACCUAGAGCAAUGACAUGAAUGAUGAACCAAGAAAUCUUGUGCACCUGUCGGUUACAACAUUUCUCCUGCAAUCAAGUUGCUAGCCAUGUUCUUCCCUGGCCGUAGAUUUUUUAGAUUUUCUAUUAUAAUAUUGGUCCUGAAU
Durio zibethinus is the source of this 3946-nucleotide non-coding RNA. NCBI's taxonomy places the organism in Eukaryota, Viridiplantae, Streptophyta, Magnoliopsida, Malvales, Malvaceae. The record is from RefSeq and is a predicted model, not a curated record.